UACAGAGGUGCCAAGCGUUAGGCGGAAUCACUGGGCUUAAAGCGCGUGUAGGUGGACGGGUAAGUAUCUUGUGAAAUCCCACAGCUCAACUGUGGAACUGCUGGAUAUACUGCUUGUCUUGAGGCAUUCAGGGGCAACCGGAACAAAUGGUGGAGCGGUGAAAUGCGUAGAUAUCAAGAGGAACACCUGAGGGGAAGACGGGUUGCUGGGCCGACACUGACGCUGAGUGCGCGAAAGCCAGGGGAGCAAACGGG
RNAcentral lists this ribosomal RNA (254 nucleotides) under uncultured bacterium. Its description in RNAcentral is "partial 16S ribosomal RNA". It matches the Rfam family "Bacterial small subunit ribosomal RNA", at positions 524 to 776 of the family's 1533-position model. The record is from RNAcentral.